RNAcentral lists this ribosomal RNA (911 nucleotides) under Arthrobacter sp. PF2M16. RNAcentral describes it as "bacterial SSU rRNA". It matches the Rfam family "Bacterial small subunit ribosomal RNA", at positions 571 to 1474 of the family's 1533-position model. The record is from RNAcentral. Lineage: Bacteria; Bacillati; Actinomycetota; Actinomycetes; Micrococcales; Micrococcaceae.
GUAGGCGGUUUGUCGCGUCUGCCGUGAAAGUCCGGGGCUCAACUCCGGAUCUGCGGUGGGUACGGGGCAGACUAGAGUGAUGUAGGGGGAGACUGGAAUUCCUGGUGUAGCGGUGAAAUGCGCAGAUAUCAGGAGGAACACCGAUGGCGAAGGCAGGUCUCUGGGCAUUAACUGACGCUGAGGAGCGAAAGCAUGGGGAGCGAACAGGAUUAGAUACCCUGGUAGUCCAUGCCGUAAACGUUGGGCACUAGGUGUGGGGGACAUUCCACGUUUUCCGCGCCGUAGCUAACGCAUUAAGUGCCCCGCCUGGGGAGUACGGCCGCAAGGCUAAAACUCAAAGGAAUUGACGGGGGCCCGCACAAGCGGCGGAGCAUGCGGAUUAAUUCGAUGCAACGCGAAGAACCUUACCAAGGCUUGACAUGAACCGGAAAUACCUGGAAACAGGUGCCCCGCUUGCGGUCGGUUUACAGGUGGUGCAUGGUUGUCGUCAGCUCGUGUCGUGAGAUGUUGGGUUAAGUCCCGCAACGAGCGCAACCCUCGUUCUAUGUUGCCAGCGCGUUAUGGCGGGGACUCAUAGGAGACUGCCGGGGUCAACUCGGAGGAAGGUGGGGACGACGUCAAAUCAUCAUGCCCCUUAUGUCUUGGGCUUCACGCAUGCUACAAUGGCCGGUACAAAGGGUUGCGAUACUGUGAGGUGGAGCUAAUCCCAAAAAGCCGGUCUCAGUUCGGAUUGGGGUCUGCAACUCGACCCCAUGAAGUCGGAGUCGCUAGUAAUCCCAGAUCAGCAACGCUGCGGUGAAUACGUUCCCGGGCCUUGUACACACCGCCCGUCAAGUCACGAAAGUUGGUAACACCCGAAGCCGGUGGCCUAACCCCUUGUGGGAGGGAGCUGUCGAAGGUGGGACUGGCGA